AUUAAGGUAGCAAAGCCCGGGCAUGCAAAAGGCUUAAAACCUCAACACGGGCGUUCAAAUCGCCCCCUUAAUA
RNAcentral lists this transfer RNA (73 nucleotides) under Myrrophis chinensis (Chinese water snake). RNAcentral's name for it is "tRNA-Leu". It matches the Rfam family "tRNA". Rfam says of the family: Transfer RNA (tRNA) molecules are approximately 80 nucleotides in length. Their secondary structure includes four short double-helical elements and three loops (D, anti-codon, and T loops). Lineage: Eukaryota; Metazoa; Chordata; Lepidosauria; Squamata; Homalopsidae. The record is from RNAcentral. RNAcentral also lists the same sequence under 1 other name.